RNAcentral lists this ribosomal RNA (403 nucleotides) under uncultured bacterium. RNAcentral's name for it is "bacterial SSU rRNA". It matches the Rfam family "Bacterial small subunit ribosomal RNA", at positions 975 to 1375 of the family's 1533-position model. The record is from RNAcentral.
CAGCCCUUGACAUCCUGGUCGCGGAUUUCAGAGAUGAGAUCCUUCAGUUCGGCUGGACCAGAGACAGGUGCUGCAUGGCUGUCGUCAGCUCGUGUCGUGAGAUGUUGGGUUAAGUCCCGCAACGAGCGCAACCCUCGCCCUUAGUUGCCAUCAUUCAGUUGGGCACUCUAAGGGGACUGCCGGUGAUAAGCCGCGAGGAAGGUGGGGAUGACGUCAAGUCCUCAUGGCCCUUACGGGCUGGGCUACACACGUGCUACAAUGGCGGUGACAAUGGGACGCGAAGGGGUGACCCUUGGCAAAUCUCAAAAAGCCGUCUCAGUUCGGAUUGGGCUCUGCAACUUGAGCCCAUGAAGUUGGAAUCGCUAGUAAUCGCAGAUCAGCACGCUGCGGUGAAUACGUUCCC